UGAUGAAAUGAAAUAUAAACCUCUAGCGAUA
RNAcentral lists this non-coding RNA (31 nucleotides) under Mus musculus (house mouse). The record is from RNAcentral. Lineage: Eukaryota; Metazoa; Chordata; Mammalia; Rodentia; Muridae.